GAUGAACGCUGGCGGCGUGCCUAAUACAUGCAAGUCGAGCGAACAGAUGAGGAGCUUGCUCCUCUGACGUUAGCGGCGGACGGGUGAGUACCACGUGGAUAACCUACCUAUAAUACUGGGAUAACUUCGGGAAACCGGAUCUAAUACCGGAUAAUAUAUUGAACCGCAUGGUUCAAUAGUGAAUGUCGUUUUUUCUGUUUCUUAUAUAUGGAUCCGAACCGCUUUAGCGAGUUGGUAAUGUAAGGUCUUACUAAGGGAACGAUGCGUAGCAGACCAGAGAGGGGGAUCGGCCACAGUGGAAGUGAGACACGGGCCAGACUCCGACGGGAGGCAGCAGUAGGGAAUCUUGAGCAGUGGGAGAAAGGUUGACGGAGCAACGCGGGGUGAGUGAUGAAGGUCAUCGGAUCGGAAAACGCUGUUAUUAGGGAAGAACAAAUGUGUAAGUAACUAUGCACGUAUUGAAGGUACCGAAUCAGAAAGCCACGCCUAACUACGG
This 496-nucleotide ribosomal RNA is filed under the name uncultured bacterium. Its description in RNAcentral is "partial 16S ribosomal RNA". It matches the Rfam family "Bacterial small subunit ribosomal RNA", at positions 28 to 506 of the family's 1533-position model. The record is from RNAcentral.